ACCAACAAAUUGUUCUUUGUAUGUACUCUGCUCUGUUCCACCAACAAAUUACCAUCCUGCCGCCUUCAAUCAUCCGUCGAUCCCACUAAACUAACGAAGAAAGUUAUAUCCAUUGAACGUUUGGAGGUAUGGUUUAUCAAUCUUCAUUUGUUGGAUUUUAAAAUUUUUGGUGCUUUUCCGUGUGGAUUGAUAAGUGUGUUUCUGCACCCCUAUUUAGAUCACAAACAUGACUUAAUUACGAGCAAAAUGUUUAAAUUGUAAUUUAAUCUUGUUGAAUUCAUGCAAUGUAGGUGUUUCUAUGGAAAUGGUGGAAUUCAGGAGAAAUGAGCCGAAAAAGGACUAAAAUGGAGCAAAGUAAUAGUUCAGGGACUAAGGAUGCAAAUAUUCAUAGUUGAACUAAAAAGCAACCCGAGAAUGCAAAUAUGCUAAGUAUGAACUCGAAUGUGAUACAAGAUGAUUGGAAGAAGAAGGAAUUGCAAAUGGACUGAAAUGAAGAAAAAUGAAAGUUCAAGGACCAAAAUGGACUUUUGCAUAGUUGGUAGCACUAUGCGACCGCACCCUCUAUGCGGUCGUAUAGAGGUAGACCGAGAAUAAUUUCUCAAAAAAUUUUACUCUAUGCGACCGCAUAGAAAUAUAUUAUGCAGUCGUAUAGAGUAGUUCGGAGGUUGAAUCUGCAAUUUCCUUAUUUCGCCGAAACUCUUAUGAAAACAAGAUGUUUGGGGUCCUAUAUAAAUGAAAACUCGACCAGAAUGAAGGGGACACCGUUUUUAGAAGAAAAAGAGAGAUUUUGAAGGAGAAAAUGAAGAGAGAACAAGAGGAAAACAUCCUGCCAAUUAAAGAAUUGAUUGAAACUUGAUUCGGGUGAUGACAUUUCUUCAACUAUUUUUGUAUUUUCUUCUUUUUAGCAUGUUAGGCUAGAUUUUUCAUGUACUAGGAGAUUGAUGAACCUUGCAAUACUAUUUUUGAUUUUUGAUUUGGAGAUUUGACAUAUUUAAGCACAUGUUCUGAAAUUGAAUGAUUUAUACGUUUUUAUUUUCAUAUUAUUAUUGUGCACGUACUUAUAUGAUUUUGGUGGCCUGUUUUAUGCAUUUGAAAGAAGGAAAAUAGGCUCGACAUGAUAUAAAUCAUCAUAGGUUUCGAUAAGGGAUAGAAAUAUACCUCUAUGCCUCGUGUGAAUUGUUGAAUAUUCAUGAAAUUACAUGCAUUCCUGCAUGUUAGUAUUUCUUAUAGAGAUAUAGUCGAAUCACAUACGGGUGUUGCUUGGGAAUUCAUGAUCCUAGUGCGUUAAUAAUUCAUUAAUUCCGUAAAUUAUCGUAGAUUACAUCCAGGUCAUUUUGUAUUUAGCAUAAGUUUCUCACUCAUAUUUGUAUCAUAGUUCACAUCUUCAUUAGUUAAAUCACAAUACAUAUAUCUUACUUUCGUCUUUCGGUUAAGGUCAUAAUAGGUUGAUUUAAACUAAUUCAAUCCUUAUGGGAUCGAUACUUGGACUCAUAAUCCAUUCUACUACUUGUUAACGAACCGUACACUUGUGGUGAGUUUUAAAUAAAUAAUAAUAAUUUUGUGAACAAGUUUUUGGCGCCGUUGCCAGAGAUUGAAAUUUAGUUUAAUUUUUUUUUGUGACAUUAAUUCAAACUUACUUUGAUUAGUAGUAGUUAGCUUACUAGACUAAGUUUAUUGUUUAUUUUAAUUUAAUUUUGUGCUAUUUUUACUAUCUCAGGGCUUGUAUGCAAAGAGCACCUGAUCGAGAUUUGGUUCCCAUUGAUCCAGAGAUCGAACGCACAUUUCAUCACAGGCAAAGAGAAGUAAGAGCAACACAACAAAUUCAAAAAGACCAAAAAUAGCAACAACAGAUGGCUAACAAGUAAAAUCGUCCAGUAAUUCAACUCAACGAAGGCAUGGGGGUUGAAGAUGAAGGGAAUAUGGUACCUGGGGAUUUCAUGGUACCGUUGGUUUUCCAGAGUCAAUCUAGCAUUGUGUAUCCUCCAUUUGGACAAUCGAACUUCCAGCUAAAAACAAAUGUAAUUCAACUAUUUCAGAAGGGGCAUCAAUACCACGGGAUGGCUAAUGAGAAUCCACAUACACACAUAUCCCAAUUUCUAGACAUGUGCCAACACUUUAGUUACCAGGGUAUCUCAGAUGAUGCUAUAAGACUUUGAUUGUUUCCACACACAUUGUAGGAUAAAGCACUUGAAUGGCUGGAUUCACUUCCCGUCGCAAGUAUUACCACUUGGAACGAGCUAGCCCACAAAUUCUGCACCAAGUUCUUCUCACCAGCUAAGGUAGCGAAAAUGCAGCAUGAUAUAUCUAUAUUCAACCAAGGCAAGUCCGAAUCAUUUGAAGAGGCCUGGAAUCACUUCAAAAAUAUGUUAAGGAAGUGUCCUCAGCAUGGCUUUGAUAAAAAGACACAAAUUUGAUUUUUCUACACUGGAUUACUUCCAUCCUUCAAGAGCAUGGUGGAUUCAUCAUCCGACGGGUCAAUCUCCAUGAGAACAAUUGACGAAGCAUGGGAACUAUUUGAGAGAAUGGCUACGACUUCAGUCAUGUGGUCUACAGAUCGAGUGGUUUAGAAGAGAACACCGAGGUGGGUUUAUGAAGUAGAUACUUACUCAACAUUAUCCGCAAAGAUAGACUCCUUGUUCCAUAAGGUUGAGAGCAUUUCACAGACUACCAAUGCAAAACAAGUCAAGAAGCCAAGUUGUGAAGAAUUUGGAGCAGACCACAAUACUGCCAAUUGUCCAAUUCUCACACAGGGGAUCGAACAUGCAGAUUUUGGGCAUUGGGGUCAACGCCAAUAGAACAAUCCACAUUUGAAAACCUUCAAUCAGGGCUGGAGAAAACACCCAAACUUCUCGUGGAGUAACCAGAAUCAAAACAGACCACAAGGUCAUUUUCAGCAACAGGAUAAAAAGCCACCAUUAGAAGCAAUGUUUGAGAAGUUCAUGGCAACGACUAAUUAGUACAUGGAGGCCAACAACCAGUUUAUGCGAAAGAUAGAUACAACUUUCCAAGAUCAAAGUGCUGCAAUAAAAAAUUUGGAGACGCAAAUGGGACAGAUGGAAAUCUCCAUGACAGGUAGAGCACUAGAGAACCUACCCAACAACACUGAAAUCAAUCCUAAGGAGCACGCAAAAGCUAUAAUAACCAGAAGUGGAGUACAACUACCAGAGAUACAUGUAAAAAGAUCGAUAGCUAGCAAAGAAUUAAUGCCAACCUCAGAUGACGAGAUUGUGGAACAGAUUGAACAAACAACAGAGGAUGUUGCCAAGAAGAGUUCCAAUACAUCAUGGGUUACAGCUACCAAUUCUAUCAACCCUCAUGAGCCACCUAUUCCAUUUCCGCAGAGGUUGAAAAAGUACAAAUUGGAUUAGUAAUAUAGUAAAUUUCUUGAAGUCUUCAAGAAACUGCACAUCAACAUCCCAUUUGCUGAGGCACUUGUUCAGAUGCCAAAUUAUGCAAAAUUCCUAAAGGAUAUCCUCUCUAACAAGUGAAAGAUAGAAGAAAAUGAAACAGUGAUGCUAACUGAGGAAUGCAGUGCCAGAAUCCGAAAAAAGCUACCUCCAAAACUAAAGGAUCCAGAGAGUUUUACUGUAUCUUGCACUAUUGAAAAUUGUCAUUUUGAUAAAGCUUUGUGUGAUUUAGGUGCAAGUAUUAAUUUGAUCCCUCUAUCUAUUUUCAGGAAACUCAGCUUGGGAGAAGCUAAAGCCAUAACAGUGGCCGUAUAGUUAGCAGAUCGAUCCCUUACACAUCCAAGAGGGAUCAUCGAAGACGUGUUGGUAAAAGUAGAAAAGUUUAUAUUUCUAGCAGAUUUUCUCAUUUUAGACAUAGAGGAAGAUAAGGAUAUUCCACUCAUAUUAGGGCAACCUUUCUUAGCUACUAGAAGAGCGAUUGUCGAUGUUCAGAAAGGACAGCUUAUAUUGAGGCUUGACGAAGAACAGAUCUCUUCCAAUGUAUUCAAGGCAAUGAAGUUUUUCACUGAGCCAGACAGCUGCUUUCAGAUUGAGGUAAUUGACAGAAUAAUUCAAGAUACAUUUCAGCUAUAUCAUCUUUUCGAUGCAUACGAGGCAUGCAUUGCACAUUCUCAAUACACUCACACUAAUUCAAGUGAGAUUGAAACAUGUGCAUGGUUUUUGGAAACUAAUCCACCAUACAUGUGCAAGCGUUACUUUGAAGAGUUGGGAACUAGGACUACAAAGUCAAAGCCAUCUAUUCAACAACCUCCCAAGUUGGAACUCAAACAAUUGUCAUCACACCUCCGAUAUGCUUACUUGGGGGAGUCUUCUACACUCCUGAUUAUUAUUUCAAAUACUAUCAGUGAAGUGGAGGAAGAGAGACUACUUUGGGUGCUGAGGGAGAAUAAAACAGCCAUUGGAUGGUCAAUUGUAGAUAUCAAGGGGAUCAGCCCGUCGCUAUACAUGCACAAAAUACUCAUGGAAGAAAAUUUCAAGCCAAGCAUUGAUGGUCAGUGGGGAUUGAAUCCAAACAAGAAGGAAGUGGUUAGGGCUGAGGUCUUAAAGUUGCUCGAUGCAGCCAUCAUCUACCCAAUAUUAGAUAGUGCAUGGAUCAAUCCAGUGCAGGUUGUUCCAAAUAAGGGAGGUAUCAAAGUUGUGCAGAACGAGAAAAAUGAGUUGAUUCCAACAAGAAAAAUGAGUUACCGCAAACUAAAUGCUGCUACUCAAAAGGAUCAUUUUCCACUACCAUUCAUUGAUUAGAUGUUGGAGAGACUAGCAGGGUACUCACAUUACUGUUUUCUGGAUGGGUACUCUGGGUAUAAUUAGAUUCCAGUAACACCUGAUGAUCAAGAGAAGACAACUUUCACAUGCCCCUACGGUACCUUUGCAUACCGUAGGUACCCUUUGGUUUGUGCAACUCCCCUGCCACCUUUCAGCGUUGCAUGAUGGCUAUCUUUUUUGAAAUGAUUGAGAAAUUCAUUGAGGUAUUUAUGGAUGACUUCUCAGUAUUUGGGUCUUCGUUUGAUGAGUGUUUGGAGCAUCUGAGUCUUGUGUUACAGCAGUGUACAGAGACCAACUUGGUAUUGAAUUGGGAGAAAUGUCACUUUAUGGUACAGGAGGGCAUCGUAUUAGGACAUAGAAUAUCAGCAAAGGGUAUUGACGUGGACAGAGCAAAGAUUUAGGUGAUCGAGAAAUUACUGCCACCAACAUCAGUGAAAGGUGUUCGUAGCUUCCUUCGGCAUGCCGGGUUCUACAGAAGGUUCAUAAAGGAUUUCUCAAAAAUUACUAAAUCACUAUGUUGUUCGUUGAUGAAGGAAUCCACAUUUGAGUUCACAGAUGAGUGUUUGAUGGCUUUUAAUACCUUGAAAGAGAAGUUGAUUUCAGCACUCGUGAUCAUCACACCGGAUUGGAACCUGUCAUUUGAAUUAAUGUGCCACACCAGUGAUUUUGCUGUUGGGGCCGUAUUGGGACAACUGAGAAAUAAGAUAUUUCACGUAAUCUACUAUGCAAGUAAGACCUUGAACGACGCUCAAUUAAACUAUGCCACUACAGAGAAAGAGCUCCUUGUCGUAGUCUACGCCUUUAACAAAUUUCGAUCAUAUCUUAUGGGGUCAAAGGUCAUCGUUACACAGAUCACGCAGCCAUCAAGUACUUAAUGGAAAAAAAGGAUGCCAAGCCACGUCUCAUUCGUUGGAUACUGCUGCUUCAAGAGUUUGAUCUGGAAAUCAGGGAUAAGAAGGAUAGUGAAAAUAUGGUAGCAGACCACUUGUCUCGACUCGAGACCACAGAGCAGGCAGAGACCGUGGAAAUUAGUGAAGUCUUUCCAGAUGAACAGAUUUUCGAUGUGGGAGAGGCACCCUGGUAUGCUGACAUAGUUAACUACUUAGUCAUGUCUAUCAUUCCGCCAGAUUACUCAAAUCACCAGAAGAAGAAAUUUUUCGCUGAGUUGAAGUAUUAUUUUUGGGAGGAUCCUAUUCUAUACAGGCGAGGAGCUGAUCAAAUCAUUCGUCGUUGCGUACUUGAGGAAGAAGUGCUCUUAAUACUAGAACAUUGUCAUUCAUCUACAUACGCAGGGCAUUUUGGUACAUCAAAACAGCGACGAAGAUCCUUUAGUCAGGUUUUUACUGGCCUAUGUUGUUUAAGGAUACCUUUGAAUUCAUGAACAAAUGUGACCGAUGUUAACCCACCGGUAAUAUAUCCAGGAGAAACGAAAUGCAUUUGAAUAGUAUCCUGGAGGUGGAACUAUUCGACGUAUGGGGAAUCGACUUCAUCGGGCCAUUUCUCCCAUCAUUCUCUAAUCAGUACAAAUUAGUUGUUGUGGAUUACGUAUCGAAGUGGGUAGAAGCCGUUGCAUUGCCUACCAACGAUGGGAAGGUGGUGAUUGAUUUUCUAAAGAAAAAUAUUUUCACCCGCUUUAGCACACCGAGAGCUAUAAUAAGUGACGGGGGCAAACAUUUCUACAAUCGCCAAUUUGAAUAGUUGUUGACUAAAUAUGGCGUUAAACAUCGUGUAGCCACUGCAUAUCAUCCUCAAACCAGCGGACAGGUUGAAGUAUCCAAUAAACAAUUAAAGAAAAUACUUGAAGUCACAGUAAGCUCUUCACGAAAAGAUUAGUCUAAGAAUCUGGAGGAUGCCUUGUGGGCCUAUAGGACUGUAUUCAAGAUGCCUAUAGGGAUGUCACCAUAUUGACUGAUUUUCGGGAAGGCAUGCCACUUACCUCUUGAGAUAGAACACCAAACUUAUUGGGCAAUGAUGAAAUUGAAUUUAGACUUGAAGGCUGCGGGUGAAAAAUGUCUAUUACAACUUAAUGAGCUGGAUGAGCUAAGAAUGGAGGCUUACGAAAAUUCAAGACUCUACAAAUAACGCACCAAGAAGUUUAAGCACUAUUGAAGCGGCAAUUUCUCAAAGCAAAAGUCUACCGUUCAUCUUAAACCACUAGAAUGACACAAUACGGUAAAGUCGAGCUAUCGACUAUAACUAGCGCUGGGUGAGAGGCAACCCACUGUAUCAUUCGAUUCAUAUUACUUUUCACAUUAUUUUAGGAGUUGUUUAAUUUUCGCAUUUGCCUUUUUUUUAGGUCAUCGAUCUUUCACGUAUAAUAGUUUAAGCAUUACACAUGUAAGGUGGCAUGAGUCAAGUUGAUUGAAGUUGUUUUGGGGGAUUGAGUGUGAAGUCAUGCAUUUCGAUGCACAAAGUCAUUCUUCAUAAAAAUUUUCGGAAUGCGUUUCAAGUUUUUCCAUAAAUUGGUCUUGGUACGAAGUCUUUCGACAAGCACAUAUCCCAUUGAAUUGGAAGUUUCUAAAUUUUCGGGAAUGAUAUUAGCCGAGUCAAAUUUUUAAUUGAAAACCAAUUUCGGGGGAAAAUUUUAAUUAAGUUGUGUUUUGGGGGUUAAAAUUGUAAUUUUGAUAUUUUUUUUCCAUAAUUCAGAUUUAAAAAAAAAAUUGUCUAUACGACCGCAUAGAUACCAACUGAAACAAAAAAUGGGGCAAAUUAGACCACUAUGCGACCGCAUAGGAUAUAACUAUGCAGCCGCAUAGUAGUGAUCCGGUCAUGGACUUAAGCCAUGAACGUCUCACUCUAAAUCAUUUCCCCCCCCAUUCCCCUCUCACAUUUCUCCCUCGAACCCUAGGUCCAAAAAUUUCCCUCUUACACACACACCCAAAGACAUUCCUAUAUCCUCCUUCAUUUCUUCAAUCAUCCACGUAUUCAUCACGAAAAAGGCCCAAGGUGUUCAAGGUAUGAGCUUUAUUUCUUCUCCUCACUUUGAUUUUUGUUUGUAGUUACUCACAAUUUACGAUUGGAAAUUGAGUUGAAAGAGUGUAAGUAGGCUUGGUUUAUGACAUUGCUUUGUGUUUAUGCAUUGUGGGUGCUUACAUUUUGCCAAUUAUUAAUAGAAUGGAGAUAAAGAUAUUGCACACAACCUAUUCGAUGAAAUGCCUAAAUGACGAGCUUUAUGCAAUUUCGAAUUUUUUGCUUUGAUUAUGAAGUGUAAUUGAUGUGUAUAGCAAUUGGAUAAAGACAGAUCACUUGAAAAGGCCAUGAAAAACAUAAAACCCCAUCUUGCAUGACGUAGGCACUACAUAGUCAAGUCACGGCACCCUCCGUCUCCUACUUACACUGUAAUUUGACUCACCAAAUGAAGUCAAAUUGCUUUGAAAUUUGAGUAUAUGCUAGGCCUCAUUGAAUACUUUCAUAUACCUAGAGAUUGUUCAGGAAAAUUUCGAUAUUUUUCGAUGAUGUCCGGGGUUGAGCGCACUUGGUCAUGGGUCCAAUUUUUCAAAUGUGCAUGUUUAGGCCUAGUUUUCUUAGUUUUUCAUAUUGGUACACUAACACUAUCUUGAAUAUCAUGUUUUGAAGAUUGCAUACUAAUGUGCUAUAUAUGCAUGUUGAAGCAAGUUUGAGAGAUUUGUGAAAUACAUACCUUGCUAAUCUCCUUUCCUCUCUAGUUUUUCAACAAGAAGUUUAAUGAAUGUUAUUUUUGCACUUUUGCAGGAUGCCUCCAAAAAGAACAUCAAAAGGAAAAGAGAAGGUUGGUUCCGCAUCUGGCACAGCCCAGACUAGAGAGCCCGAAGGGGGUGUCAGGAGAUUUCUAUCCUCAGACACAGUAGCCCGUUACACCAAUGUUGUAUGCGAGUGGACACUCAUCCUCGAAAGGCCGGUUUAGUUGGAAGAUUUCCCCGAUUUUGAUUUAGUUUAUUUAAUCCACAACUGUGGUUGAGAGAAAGUAAUUGAAAGACCGCAUCCAGUGUAUGAAAAUCUGGUAAAUGAGUUCUAUGCCAACUUCAAUACAAAAAUCGACAUGCCUGGAUCAGAUCAUCCACAUCAAACAUGGGUUCGGGGUAAAUGGAUUAUGUUUUCACCAGAAGUGAUUCAUGACUACUAUUAGCUAACUUGUAAUAAUGUGGUCUCGAUCCCACAUAAUUUCAACUGGAUUGAGAUUGCAGAAGUAUUACUGGGAUGUGAGAAUGUUUGGCCUCUACCUACUGCAGAUUGGUAUCAGGUUGAUCUCACCCCAUCUAUAGCUAUCCUAUGGUUAUUCAUAUGCCACAACAUCGAGCCCAUAUCCCAUAGGACGACAUUUACAAAUCAAAAGGUGGGGUUUAUCUAUCAUUUGGCUCGGGGAAACAAGAUUUACUUGGCCACAUACAUCUACAACCAGAUACACAUUAUAGGCACAUGGGGAGACAGGCACACCUCGCUGAUUUUCCCAAGUUUGAUAAGUGGGAUAUUUAGAGUUGCAGGCAUACAAGUCCAGCCUGGGGAAGCACCGAAAAAAUCAAGUCGCUAUAUCAAGCGCCUCACACUAGAGGCACAGGAUCGAGCCAGAGUUACACAUCAACAGAAGUUAGAAAAUGAGCGACGCCGACAGCAACAGGCUGAGGAAGGACAAGCAGUUGAGGACUUCGAAAUGCUACAAGUUUCUCCACCAUCGGUUGAAAUUGACACCCAGUUAUUGAGGCAGAUGUUUGCCACUAUGAUAGGACACAGUCGAGACAUGAAGACUCUUCAGCAAUCAUUUGGAGCAAUGAGUACCACCAUCCAGCAGGUACAGAAUGAUAUGGCAAUCACAAGAAACUUCGCAUCCAAUGCCAGCAGUGAUUCCCUUGCAACAAGAAGAGAAAUGAGUACCUUUGAUGGGCGAUUGGGAAUGUAGAUUGGCAAGAUGGAUGUAUACAGUGGCGAGUGAAUGAGACAUGGGACCGUUUAGGGAACUUGGAGACAGGAUUCAGGCCAUGCAGAUGGAGCAGAGCCAGCAGUCUGACAUAUUGAGAGAGAUUUUAUCCCGCCUUCCUCUCCCUCCUGGAGAUGAUGCUGUAGGACCCAGCCUUCCAUCACAGCCACCUUAUUGAUCAGGAGAGUCUUGUAUACCUCAUUUUGCUAUUUUGUGUUCUUGUUUUUCUUUUUCAAUUAUGUCAUUUCAACUUUAAUUCUUACAUUGAGGACAAUGUACUAUAUAAGUUUGGGUGAUGGUGGCAUAAUUUAAAACAAAUUGUCGGCAUGUAAUUAUUUUGCAUUUUCAUAGCCCAUCGUUAUUAUUGACUAAUUGUUGCAUGAUGCAUGCUUGAUGAGUGAGUGUUAAUUAUACUUUGGCAUGCUUGUGUGGGCUUGAUAGCCUUGUCGGCUAUGAUGUGAUUAUUGGAUUGGUAUAAUUCAUAAACUCUGAAUAUAGAGCUGAAUAGAUUAACCAAUACUUGUGAUGCAAUACUUGACAUUAUCUAUGCAAGCUGUUCAUGCUUGACAUUUUAGGUGAAUGACUGAAUUUUGAUCAUAAAGUAGGAAAAGAAUGAUAACCCUCUAUUGAAUUAACACGUGAAUCCCAUUAAGACAAUUUGGAAUUGGUUGAACUAUUAUGGGGAGCAUUGAGAUUAGCGGGGGCUCCGUGCAUUAAAUUUUAUUGUGUGGAUUGCCUAGACCAGUGAGGUGAAGAUUAGGUGAAAAUCUUAAAUUGAGGGUUGGUUUUGGAAACUGAAUGUCUAGAACAAUAAGGGCAUAAAAAUUAAUAUCUAAGAAUAAAACACUUCUUUUCAUGCCUUUAUGACUUGAGCAAGUAAGCCUGGAAGGAUAUUUCAAAAUCUGGUACCCUAAAGUCAACUGGCCUGGGAGUCACCGGCCUAAAGCUCGCUAAAGGGGUCAUAUAAAAAGCAAGAGGGAAAGAGGAUAAUAAAAAGUCAUCUGAUCAAGCCUUUAUAACCCGAGUAAAUAAGCGUGCAAGGAUUUAAAACCUAGUGCCCUAAAGCCAACUGGUUUGGGAGUCACCGGCCUAAAACUCGUUACAUGAGUUAUAUAGAAAGUAAAUAAGAAGAUGAUAUAUAUAUAUAUAUAUAUAUAUAUAUAUAUAUAUAUAUAUAUAUAUAUAUAGAAAAACAUAAAGAAAAGCCCUUAGACAUUUGGUUGAGAAAACUAUACCUUUGAGGCGAGGCAGGUAACCUAUUUUAAUCUUGAGCGUCGAAGCAAUCAAACUUGGGAGAGCCUUUACUUGUUGAAAUGUAAAAUUGUGAUACUGAGAUUAAUCCAAACUAUGAGAGGGUGAUGUCUAUAGCUGUAAACUCCUAAUUUUGAAACACAAUCCCAGGAUAAUUGAAUGAAAAAAAUAAGUUUGGGGGGUUGUGUAUCUCUCGAGCGAGUAAGGAUACAUUCGACCACUUGGGGUCAGGACUCAACCCAUCCUGAAUUUGAUAUGUUGGAGUGAAUUCACACACACACGUCAAGCAUGCAUUUAACAGGUAAAGGUUGAUGUCAUUUUGCACUGAUAAAUUUUCAUAAAGUCAAAUACUUAGUCCAAUCCUGGGCCACGACAGGGUAUUAAGUCAUGUUUGUUUAAAAUUAAGUCACUAUUUUGUUUGAGGACAAACAAUAGUUCAAGUUUGGAGGGUUUGGUUUGUACACUUAUUUAGAUCACAAACAUGACUUAAUUAUGAGCAAAAUGUUAAAUUGUGACUUAAUCUCGUUUAAUUCAUGCAAUGUAGGUGUUUCUAUGGAAAUGGUGGAAUUCAGAAGAAAAGAAUCAAAAAAGGACUAAAAUGGAGCAAAGGGAUAGUUCAGGGACUAAGGAUGCAAAUAUUCAAAGUUGAACUAAAAAGCAACCCGGGAAUGCAAAUAUGCUAAGUAUGCACUCGAAUGCGAUACAAGAUGAUUGGAAGAAGAAGGAAUUGCAAAGGGACUGAAAUGAAGAAGAAUGAAAGUUCAAGGACCAAAAUGGACUUUUGCAUAAUUGGUAGCACUAUGCGGUCUAUGUGGUCGUAUAGAGGCAGACUGAGAAUAAUUUUUCAAAAUUUUUAAUCUAUGCGACCGCAUAGAAAUAUACUAUGCGGUCGCAUAGAGUAGUUCGGAGGCCGAAUCUACAGUUUCCUUAUUUCGUCGAAACUCUUAUGGAAACAAGAUUUUUGGGGUCCUAUAUAAAUAAAAACUCGACCAGAAUGAAGGGGAUGCCAUUUUUAGAAGAAAAAGAGAGAUUUUGAAGGAGAAAACGAAAAGAGAACAAGAGGAAAACAUCUCGCCAAUUGAAGAAUUGAUUGAAACUUGAUUCAAGUGAUGAAGUUUCUUCAACUAUUUUUGUAUAUUCUUCUUUUCAGCAUGUUAGGCUAGAUUUUUCAUGUACUAGGAGAUCGAUGAACCUUGCAAUACUAUUUUUGAUUUUUGAUUUGGAGAUUUGACAUAUUUAAGCACAUGUUCUGAAAUUGAAUGAUUUAUACAUUUUUAUUUUCAUAUUAUUAUUGUGCACGUAAUUAUAUGAUUUUGGUGGCCUGUUUUAUGCAUUUGAAAGAAGGAAAAUAGGCUUGACAUGAUAUAAAUCAUCAUAGGUUUCGAUAAGGGAUAGAAAUAUACCUCUUUGCCUCGUGUGAAUUGUUGAAUAUUCAUGAAAUUACAUGCAUUCCUGUAUGUUAGUAUUCGUCAUAGAGAUAUAGUCGAAUCACAUAUUGGGGUAGGUUUGGCAUUGCUUGAGACAGAUUACUAAAUUAAGAUAGGAAUAUUGAUUCAUCAAUUGUCGGAAUGUGUGUCAAAUUUGCAUAAUUAAAAGUUGAACGGGUGUUGCUUAGAAAUUCGUGAUCCUAGUGCAUUAGUAAUUCAUUAAUUUCGUAAAUUAUCAUUGAUUGCAUCCAGGUCAUUUUGUAUUUAGUAUAAGUUUCUCACUCAUAUUUGCAUCAUAGUUCACAUCAUCCUUAGUUAAAUCAUAAUACAUACAUCUUACUUUCGUGUUUCGGUUAAGGUCAUAAUAGGUUGAUUUAAACUAAUUCAAUCCUUGUGGGAUCGAUACUUGGACUCAUAAUCCAUUCUACUACUUGUUAACGAACCGUACACUUGCGGUGGAUUUUAAAUCGAAAGAAAUAAUUUUGUGAACAUGGAUUCUGCUGUGGGUUUGAGUUUUGACUUGUGUUUUCAGGAACGUCGCCACCAAUCAUUUGACUUGCGUUUUAAAAGAUGUGUGAUUUCUAUCUUCAAAAAGAUCUCUAUUUGUGGGUGAUUGCGUUCUAUCAGAAUUAGAUGAAUAACUUUUUCUCAAAUGGUUUUCUCUGGAAUGCACAAGUUUACUUGCAUGUGUUUUUGAAAUAAUCUUCAAACAUUCAAGAAUCAAGAAACCUCUCUGUGACAAAACCUCAUAUUCAAUUCCAUGAGUAUGGCAACGAUUCAAGCAUAUAGGAAUCAUUUUUUUUAUAUUGCUUAAACAAUACUGGUUUGCUUAAACUCCGGAGUUUGUCAUGGUUGCAGGGGUUGUGGACACUUCUUUGGCUAAACCAGUGGUGCACACAGAAGUUGACGAAAUGUCUCGAACUUUCAAAUCUCAAGUGUGGCUUAAUAACGAUGAAGAACUGCUAAUCUCUAUGAACGUGAACGUGACCGUCCACAGUGGAAAAUCAGCUACUGAAUGAGAAACGUAGGGGAAGGACACGACUUACUAUACUCGAAUAAUUCUAUCUUUUUUGUUGAUGUUGAUAUAGUUUGAGAAGUAGGUGGAUGUUGUAAUUCUCACUUUGAUGUAAUUGAACAUGCGUUAUUUUUGUUGGUAUGCCAAUG
This 13463-nucleotide long non-coding RNA is filed under the name Olea europaea (common olive). Its description in RNAcentral is "long non-coding RNA (OEUR_LNC012725)". Lineage: Eukaryota; Viridiplantae; Streptophyta; Magnoliopsida; Lamiales; Oleaceae. The record is from RNAcentral.